RNAcentral lists this ribosomal RNA (503 nucleotides) under Starmerella floricola. RNAcentral describes it as "partial large subunit ribosomal RNA". It matches the Rfam family "Eukaryotic large subunit ribosomal RNA", at positions 50 to 656 of the family's 3401-position model. The record is from RNAcentral. Lineage: Eukaryota; Fungi; Ascomycota; Dipodascomycetes; Dipodascales; Trichomonascaceae.
GCGGAGGAAAAGAAACCAACAGGGAUUGCCUUAGUAGCGGCGAGUGAACCGGCAAAAGCUCAGAUUUGAAAGCCUUUUUGGCAUUGUAUUCUGAAGCCUUGGUCCUGGGACCUGGUGCUUAAGUCUUCUGGAAAGGAGCGCCAUGGAGGGUGAUAGCCCCGUGAAGCACUAACCCCAUUGUAGGAUCUUGGCAUGGAGUCGAGUUGUUUGGGAAUGCAGCUCAAAUGGGUGGUAUGCUCCAUCUAAAGCUAAAUAUCUGCGAGAGACCGAUAGCGAACAAGUACUGUGAAGGAAAGAUGAAAAGAACUUUGAAAAGAGAGUGAAAUAGUACGUGAAAUUGUUGAAAUGGAAGGAUAGGCCGCUAACCACGCAGAGUCGUGUUUAGGGGGAGGACAAAAGCUGUAUACUUCAUCAUUCUUCGGAGUGGUGACGUUGCGGUGCAUACUCCCACCUGGGCGCGAGGAUCUAAGACUCUGCUAAAUGGUGGUCUAUCACCCGUCUUG